AGUGCCCUACGGGGCGCAGCAGUGGGGAAUAUUGGGCAAUGGGCGCAAGCCUGACCCAGCAACGCCGCGUGAAGGAAGAAGGCUUUCGGGUUGUAAACUUCUUUUCUUGGGGACGAAGAAAGUGACGGUACCCAAGGAAUAAGCCACGGCUAACUACGUGCCAGCAGCCGCGGUAAUACGUAGGUGGCAAGCGUUAUCCGGAUUUAUUGGGUGUAAAGGGCGUGUAGGCGGGAUUGCACGUCAGAUGUGAAAACCACGGGCUCAACCUGUGUCCUGCAUUUGAAACU
Molecule: ribosomal RNA, 287 nt
Filed under: uncultured bacterium
Lineage: Bacteria
Description: partial 16S ribosomal RNA
Rfam family: Bacterial small subunit ribosomal RNA
Source: RNAcentral